GAUGAACGCUGGCGGCGUGCCUAAUACAUGCAAGUCGAGCGAACGGACGAGAAGCUUGCUUCUCUGAUGUUAGCGGCGGACGGGUGAGUAACACGUGGAUAACCUACCUAUAAGACUGGGAUAACUUCGGGAAACCGGAGCUAAUACCGGAUAAUAUUUUGAACCGCAUGGUUCAAAAGUGAAAGACGGUCUUGCUGUCACUUAUAGAUGGAUCCGCGCUGCACUAGCUAGUUGGUAAGGUAACGGCUUACCAAGGCAACGAUGCAUAGCCGACCUGAGAGGGUGAUCGGCCACACUGGAACUGAGACACGGUCCAGACUCCUACGGGAGGCAGCAGUAGGGAAUCUGCCGCAAUGGGCGAAAGCCUGACGGAGCAACGCCGCGUGAGUGAUGAAGGUCUUCGGAUCGUAAAACUCUGUUAUUAGGGAAGAACAUAUGUGUAAGUAACUGUGCACAUCUUGACGGUACCUAAUCAGAAAGCCACGGCUAACUACGUG
RNAcentral lists this ribosomal RNA (497 nucleotides) under uncultured bacterium. RNAcentral's name for it is "partial 16S ribosomal RNA". It matches the Rfam family "Bacterial small subunit ribosomal RNA", at positions 28 to 507 of the family's 1533-position model. The record is from RNAcentral.